AUUGAACGCUGGCGGCAGGCCUAACACAUGCAAGUCGAGCGAGCGGCGGACGGGUGAGAAAUGUCUGGGAAACUGUCUGAUGGAGGGGGAUAACAACUGGAAACGGUAGCUAAUACCGCACACCAUCAGAUGUGUCCAGAUGGGAUUAGCUAGACGGUGGGGUAACGGCUCACCUAGGCGACGAUCCCUAGCUGGUCUGAGAGGAUGACCCGCCACACUGGAACUGAGACACGGUCCAGACUCCUACGGGAGGCAGCAGUGGGGAAUAUUGCGCAAUGGGCGCAAGCCUGAUGCAGCCAUGACGCGUGUGUGAAGAAGGCCUUCGGGUUGUAAAGCACUUUCAGCGAGGAGGCGUUACCCGCAGAAGAAGCACCGGCUAACUCCGUGCCAGCAGCCGCGGUAAUUC
This 406-nucleotide ribosomal RNA is filed under the name uncultured bacterium. Its description in RNAcentral is "partial 16S ribosomal RNA". It matches the Rfam family "Bacterial small subunit ribosomal RNA", at positions 30 to 526 of the family's 1533-position model. The record is from RNAcentral.